CCUACGGGUGGCAGCAGUGGGGAAUAUUGCACAAUGGGGGAAACCCUGAUGCAGCGACGCCGCGUGAGUGAAGAAGUAAUUCGUUAUGUAAAGCUCUAUCAGCAGGGAAGAAAAUGACGGUACCUGAGUAAGAAGCCCCGGCUAACUACGUGCCAGCAGCCGCGGUAAUACGUAGGGGGCAAGCGUUAUCCGGAUUUACUGGGUGUAAAGGGAGCGUAGACGGGAGUGCAAGUCUGAAGUGAAAGGCCGGAGCUCAACCUCCGGACUGCUUUGGAAACUGUACGUCUAGAGUGCAGGAGAGGUAAGUGGAAUUCCUAGUGUAGCGGUGAAAUGCGUAGAUAUUAGGAGGAACACCAGUGGCGAAGGCGGCUUACUGGACUGUAAAUGACGUUGAGGCUCGAAAGCGUGGGGAGCAAACAGGAUUAGAUACCCUAGUAGUC
This 440-nucleotide ribosomal RNA is filed under the name uncultured bacterium. RNAcentral's name for it is "partial 16S ribosomal RNA". It matches the Rfam family "Bacterial small subunit ribosomal RNA", at positions 338 to 795 of the family's 1533-position model. The record is from RNAcentral.